UGGGUGAUCUGCCCUGCACUUCGGGAUAAGCCUGGGAAACUGGGUCUAAUACCGGAUAUACCUCAUUGAUCUCCUGGUUGGUGGGGGAAAGCUUUUGCGGUGUGGGAUGGGCCCGCGGCCUAUCAGCUUGUUGGUGAGGUUACGGCUCACCAAGGCGUCGACGGGUAGCCGGCCUGAGAGGGUGUCCCGGCCACACUGGGACUGAGAUACGGCCCAGACUCCUACGAGAGGCAG
This 234-nucleotide ribosomal RNA is filed under the name uncultured bacterium. Its description in RNAcentral is "partial 16S ribosomal RNA". It matches the Rfam family "Bacterial small subunit ribosomal RNA", at positions 118 to 351 of the family's 1533-position model. The record is from RNAcentral.